GAUGAAGAACGUAGUGAAAUGCGAUACUUGGUGUGAAUUGCAGAAUCCCGUGAAUCAUCGAGUCUUUGAACGCAAGUUGCGCCCGAAGCCUUUUGGCCGAGGGCACGUCUGCCUGGGUGUCACGCAACGUCGCCGCCAGCACACCCUUCCCUUAGGGGAUCGGGAUGUAGCUGGGGGCGGAUUUUGGCCUCCCGUGCGCCUCAGCGCGCGCGGUUGGCCUAAAUUUCAGCUCACGGCGAGGAUCGCCACGACAAGCGGUGGUUUUUUGAACUAAGGACCUCGGGUGUUGUCGUGCGGCCUCGCGGAGAGAAGGAACCCUCGUGCGCUAGCGCACACUCUUAACGAGACCCCAGGUCAGUCGGGAACACCCGCUGAAUUUAAGCAUAUCAAUAAGCGGAGGA
Molecule: unclassified non-coding RNA, 401 nt
Filed under: soil metagenome
Description: partial contains 5.8S ribosomal RNA, internal transcribed spacer 2, and large subunit ribosomal RNA
Rfam family: 5.8S ribosomal RNA (bases 1-122)
Source: RNAcentral